Molecule: ribosomal RNA, 385 nt
Filed under: uncultured bacterium
Lineage: Bacteria
Description: bacterial SSU rRNA
Rfam family: Bacterial small subunit ribosomal RNA
Source: RNAcentral
AGCGAACGCUGGCGGCAGGCCUAACACAUGCAAGUCGAACGAUCUCUUCGGAGAUAGUGGCAGACGGGUGAGUAACGCGUGGGAACGUGCCCUUUGGUUCGGAACAACACAGGGAAACUUGUGCUAAUACCGAAUGUGCCCUUCGGGGGAAAGAUUUAUCGCCAUUGGAGCGGCCCGCGUUGGAUUAGGUAGUUGGUGAGGUAAAGGCUCACCAAGCCUACGAUCCAUAGCUGGUCUGAGAGGAUGAUCAGCCACACUGGGACUGAGACACGGCCCAGACUCCUACGGGAGGCAGCAGUGGGGAAUCUUGCGCAAUGGGCGAAAGCCUGACGCAGCCAUGCCGCGUGAAUGAUGAAGGUCUUAGGAUUGUAAAAUUCUUUCAGCA